Molecule: long non-coding RNA, 296 nt
Filed under: Prunus persica (peach)
Lineage: Eukaryota; Viridiplantae; Streptophyta; Magnoliopsida; Rosales; Rosaceae
Description: long non-coding RNA (PPER_LNC003216)
Source: RNAcentral
GGAUGUACAUAUCAUGGUGCACAUCAUGUACUGGGGGAAAACAAUCCAACACGAGGAUUGUUUUACUAGAACACAUGGCAGAAUCCUCAAUACUCCUGUAGUUAGGUAAUGAGCAGUCCAACUAGGGACUAUUGCUUCCUAGACAGGCACUGUAGAAUCCUCAAUACACGUGCGGUUGAAACAAGUCUUACUGGCGCAGAAUGCUCAUCAAGGCCUACGACAUACCCCGCCAAGGGUGCCCCGGGUCAUCAACAUCUCACACAUCAAAAAAUCCCUCAACGCAGGUGUGGUUAUCA